GCCUAUCUAGUAUAACUAAGUACAGCUGACUUCCAAUCAGCCAGCCUGAACUCCCUCAGGAUAGACA
Molecule: transfer RNA, 67 nt
Filed under: Alpheus digitalis
Lineage: Eukaryota; Metazoa; Arthropoda; Malacostraca; Decapoda; Alpheidae
Also listed under: 1 other name
Description: tRNA-Gly
Source: RNAcentral